This 303-nucleotide unclassified non-coding RNA is filed under the name uncultured Chaetothyriales. RNAcentral's name for it is "sequence contains ITS1". The stretch from base 1 to 105 matches the Rfam family "5.8S ribosomal RNA", at positions 50 to 154 of the family's 154-position model. The record is from RNAcentral. Lineage: Eukaryota; Fungi; Ascomycota; Eurotiomycetes; Chaetothyriales.
GAAAUGCGAUAAGUAAUGCGAAUUGCAGAAUUCAGUGAGUCAUCGAAUCUUUGAACGCACAUUGCGCCCUUUGGUAUUCCAAAGGGCAUGCCUGUUCGAGCGUCAUUAUCAACCAUCAAGCUUGGCUUGUCGUUGGAUCUGACAUCGUUAAAGAUGGGUCCGAAAGAUAGUGACGGCGUCGCGAUCGACCCCAGAUGCAACGAGCUUAUUCAGCACGCAUUAUGGAGGUCGGCCGGCCUGGUCUUAACCAUUUCAUCUCUGAAGAUUGACCUCGGAUCAGGUAGGAAUACCCGCUGAACUUAA